Molecule: ribosomal RNA, 497 nt
Filed under: uncultured bacterium
Lineage: Bacteria
Description: partial 16S ribosomal RNA
Rfam family: Bacterial small subunit ribosomal RNA
Source: RNAcentral
GAUGAACGCUGGCGGCGUGCCUAAUACAUGCAAGUCGAGCGAACGGACGAGAAGCUUGCUUCUCUGAUGUUAGCGGCGGACGGGUGAGUAACACGUGGAUAACCUACCUAUAAGACUGGGAUAACUUCGGGAAACCGGAGCUAAUACCGGAUAAUAUUUUGAACCGCAUGGUUCAAAAGUGAAAGACGGUCUUGCUGUCACUUAUAGAUGGAUCCGCGCUGCAUUAGCUAGUUGGUAAGGUAACGGCUUACCAAGGCAACGAUGCAUAGCCGACCUGAGAGGGUGAUCGGCCACACUGGAACUGAGACACGGUCCAGACUCCUACGGGAGGCAGCAGUAGGGAAUCUUCCGCAAUGGGCGAAAGCCUGACGGAGCAACGCCGCGUGAGUGAUGAAGGUCUUCGGAUCGUAAAACUCUGUUAUUAGGGAAGAACAUAUGUGUAAGUAACUGUGCAAAGCUUGACGGUAACUAAUCAGAAAGCCACGGCUAACUACGUG